RNAcentral lists this ribosomal RNA (1527 nucleotides) under Pseudomonas syringae pv. syringae. RNAcentral describes it as "bacterial SSU rRNA". It matches the Rfam family "Bacterial small subunit ribosomal RNA". The record is from RNAcentral. Lineage: Bacteria; Pseudomonadati; Pseudomonadota; Gammaproteobacteria; Pseudomonadales; Pseudomonadaceae.
AGAGUUUGAUCAUGGCUCAGAUUGAACGCUGGCGGCAGGCCUAACACAUGCAAGUCGAGCGGCAGCACGGGUACUUGUACCUGGUGGCGAGCGGCGGACGGGUGAGUAAUGCCUAGGAAUCUGCCUGGUAGUGGGGGAUAACGCUCGGAAACGGACGCUAAUACCGCAUACGUCCUACGGGAGAAAGCAGGGGACCUUCGGGCCUUGCGCUAUCAGAUGAGCCUAGGUCGGAUUAGCUAGUUGGUGAGGUAAUGGCUCACCAAGGCGACGAUCCGUAACUGGUCUGAGAGGAUGAUCAGUCACACUGGAACUGAGACACGGUCCAGACUCCUACGGGAGGCAGCAGUGGGGAAUAUUGGACAAUGGGCGAAAGCCUGAUCCAGCCAUGCCGCGUGUGUGAAGAAGGUCUUCGGAUUGUAAAGCACUUUAAGUUGGGAGGAAGGGCAGUUACCUAAUACGUGAUUGUUUUGACGUUACCGACAGAAUAAGCACCGGCUAACUCUGUGCCAGCAGCCGCGGUAAUACAGAGGGUGCAAGCGUUAAUCGGAAUUACUGGGCGUAAAGCGCGCGUAGGUGGUUUGUUAAGUUGAAUGUGAAAUCCCCGGGCUCAACCUGGGAACUGCAUCCAAAACUGGCAAGCUAGAGUAUGGUAGAGGGUGGUGGAAUUUCCUGUGUAGCGGUGAAAUGCGUAGAUAUAGGAAGGAACACCAGUGGCGAAGGCGACCACCUGGACUGAUACUGACACUGAGGUGCGAAAGCGUGGGUAGCAAACAGGAUUAGAUACCCUGGUAGUCCACGCCGUAAACGAUGUCAACUAGCCGUUGGGAGCCUUGAGCUCUUAGUGGCGCAGCUAACGCAUUAAGUUGACCGCCUGGGGAGUACGGCCGCAAGGUUAAAACUCAAAUGAAUUGACGGGGGCCCGCACAAGCGGUGGAGCAUGUGGUUUAAUUCGAAGCAACGCGAAGAACCUUACCAGGCCUUGACAUCCAAUGAACUUUCCAGAGAUGGAUUGGUGCCUUCGGGAACAUUGAGACAGGUGCUGCAUGGCUGUCGUCAGCUCGUGUCGUGAGAUGUUGGGUUAAGUCCCGUAACGAGCGCAACCCUUGUCCUUAGUUACCAGCACGUCAUGGUGGGCACUCUAAGGAGACUGCCGGUGACAAACCGGAGGAAGGUGGGGAUGACGUCAAGUCAUCAUGGCCCUUACGGCCUGGGCUACACACGUGCUACAAUGGUCGGUACAGAGGGUUGCCAAGCCGCGAGGUGGAGCUAAUCUCACAAAACCGAUCGUAGUCCGGAUCGCAGUCUGCAACUCGACUGCGUGAAGUCGGAAUCGCUAGUAAUCGCGAAUCAGAAUGUCGCGGUGAAUACGUUCCCGGGCCUUGUACACACCGCCCGUCACACCAUGGGAGUGGGUUGCACCAGAAGUAGCUAGUCUAACCUUCGGGAGGACGGUUACCACGGUGUGAUUCAUGACUGGGGUGAAGUCGUAACAAGGUAGCCGUAGGGGAACCUGCGGCUGGAUCACCU